Molecule: ribosomal RNA, 2297 nt
Filed under: human oral metagenome
Description: bacterial LSU rRNA
Rfam family: Bacterial large subunit ribosomal RNA
Source: RNAcentral
AGAGCACAAGGUGAAUGCCUUGGCACUAGGAGCCGAAGAAGGACGUGACAAGCUGCGAAAAGCUACGGUGAGGAGCAAAUAUCCAUAGACCCGUAGAUAUCCGAAUGGGGGAACCCACUUAGAGUAAUGUCUAAGUACAUCUGUGUGAGUAAAGUAGCAUAGAGUGAGGUAACGCGGGGAACUGAAACAUCUAAGUACCCGUAGGAAGAGAAAGCAACCGCGAUUUUCCCAGUAGCGGCGAGCGAACGGGAAAGAGGCCAAACCAAGUGUUUACACUUGGGGUUGAGGACCAUCAAAGAGACAGUAAUAUUUUAGCAAAACAAGGUUGGAAAGCCUGAGCGUAGAGGGUAAAACUCCCGUAUGCGAAAAGAUAAACUGCAGGAUGGUAUCCAGAGUAGGUCCGGGCACGUGAAACCCGGAUUGAAGCAGGGGGGCCCACCCUCCAAGCCUAAAUACUACCUAGUGACCGAUAGCGAAUAGUACCGUGAGGGAAAGGUGAAAAGAACCCCGGGAGGGGAGUGAAAGAGAACCUGAAACCGUGUGCUUACAAUCGGAGGGAGCGAAAGUGACCUCGUACUUUUUGUAGAACGGGCCAACGAGUUAUGGUGUGCGGCGAGGUUAAGGUACUGGAGUACCGGAGCCGAAGGGAAACCAAGUCUUAAAAGGGCGAAAGUCGUAUGCUGUAGACCCGAAACCGGGUGACCUAUCCAUGUGCAGGUUGAAGUGUCCGUAAAAGGACAUGGAGGACCGAACCCGUAUCUGUUGAAAAAGGUUGGGAUGACGUGUGGAUAGAGGUGAAAUUCCAAUCGAACCCGGAGAUAGCUGGUUCUCCCCGAAAUAGCUUUAGGGCUAGCCUCGUGAAAAGAUGCCUGGGGGUAGAGCACUGAAUGUUCUAGGGGCCUUCACCGGUUACCGAAAACUAUCAAACUCCGAAUACCAGAGCAUCAUGCACGGGAGUCAGACUAUGUGUGAUAAUAUUCAUAGUCGAAAGGGAAACAGCCCAGACCGCCGGCUAAGGUCCCAAAAUUCAGAUUAAGUGGAAAAGGAUGUGGGGUCGCAUAGACAGCUAGGAUGUUGGCUUAGAAGCAGCCAUACAUUCAAAGAGUGCGUAAUAGCUCACUAGUCGAGUGACCCUGCGCCGAAGAUGAACGGGGCUAAAAUCUGAUACCGAAGCCACGGAUACUAAAAGUAUGGUAGGGGAGCAUCGUGUGCAGGAAGAAGCAAAAUCGAAAGGUAAUGUGGACAGUACACGAGAGAGAAUGUUGGCAUGAGUAGCGUAAGGCAGGUGAGAAUCCUGUCCACCGAAAAUCCAAGGUUUCCUGAGGAAGGUUCGUCCACUCAGGGUAAGUCGGGGCCUAAGGUGAGGGCGAAAGCCAUAGCCGAUGGAUAACAGGUAGAGAUUCCUGUACCACCGAUAACUGCAAGAGCGAAGCGGGGACACGGAAGGAUAGACUAAGCGCACCGUUGGUAGAGUGCGUCCAAGCGUCAAGGUAGUAAUUAUAGGGAAGACCGUAGUUAUGGAUCUGAGGCGUUAAGGGGUGGCGAAAGAGCCGGAAGUAGUUGAUUUCACGCCGUCAAGAAAAGCCGCUAGUGAGGUUAAAGGUGCCCGUACCGUAAACCGACACAGGUAGAUGAGGAGAGAAUCCUAAGGUGAGCGAGAGAACCAUUGUCAAGGAACUCGGCAAAAUGACCCCGUAACUUAGGGAGAAGGGGAGCCGGCGCGAGCCGGUCGCAGUGAAAAGGCCCAGGCAACUGUUUACCAAAAACACAGGUCUCUGCGAAAGCGAAAGCUGAAGUAUAGGGGCUGACGCCUGCCCGGUGCUGGAAGGUUAAGGGGAAGUGUUAGAGAAAUCGAAGCACGGAACUGAAGCCCCAGUAAACGGCGGCCGUAACUAUAACGGUCCUAAGGUAGCGAAAUUCCUUGUCGGGUAAGUUCCGACCCGCACGAAAGGCGUAAUGAUCUGGGCGCUGUCUCGACAAUGGACUCGGUGAAAUUGUAGUGCCGGUAAAGAUGCCGGCUACCCGCAGCAGGACGGGAAGACCCCAUGGAGCUUUACUGCAGCCUGAUAUUGAGCCUCGGCACUGCAUGUACAGGAUAGGUGGGAGACGAAGAGAAUAGCACGCCAGUGUUGAAGGAGUCACCGUUGGGAUACCACCCUUGUAGUGUUGGGGUUCUAACCGAGUAUCAUUAUCUGGUACCGGGACAGUGGCAGGUGGGCAGUUUGACUGGGGCGGUCGCCUCCAAAAGAGUAACGGAGGCGCCCAAAGGUUCCCUCAGCGCGGACGGAAAUCGCGCG